CGCAAGGGGGUGGGAGGGGCCAACUGAAGGCCAGUGUGUGCCAGGCCCUGCACCAGGCCUGGGGAACGCUGCAGGGGAGAAGACAGGCCUGCCUCUGCCUCACAGGAAGGGCGUUCUGUUCAGGGAGACUAAGAGUAAACAAAUCAACCUGCUCAUGAGCAAGGUCAAAUGAGAGAGCCACAGGCAUUGGAAAGAAAACUGGUGCUGGGAAAACCAGUGAGGACUGUGAGCUCGGUUAUGAGGAUGUGGGAGAGACACUCCCUGAGGAGGAUGGGGAGGGGAGUGGAGACCCUAAUAGCUGGCAGGAAACAGCCAGGCAGAGACCUGGGGGCGGAACGUUCUGGCGGAGGGAAAAAGUGCCAAGUCCUAGAGGCGGGAAAGAGCUUGAUGCAUGCGAGAGAAAAAAGCAAGGCCUUUGUGGCUGGAGGAGAAUGAAAGUGGGGAGUGGAAGGCGAAGUCUGAGAGGUAAGCAGGGACUGGAUUAUGCAGAGCCUUGAAGACUGAAUGAGGAAUGUGAGCGUUCCUCUGCACAUAACCAGAGGCCAGGGAAUGGUUAAGGGUGAGAAAUGAAGCCACUUGGGACUUCCACAUUUGGCCAAGGCAGAGUAGCUGGCCCUUCUGUAAGUCAACAACUAUACAAUUAAGUCUGGGUGUGGUGGCUCAUGCCUAUAAGAGUGAGACUGUCUCAGAAGCAAAACAAAACAAAACAAAAACAAAAACAAAAGAAAACAAAAAAACUAUGCAAUUAAAUUAAGUGCACGAGGCAACUCCUUGGAAGCAGUGGGCAGCAGGCAGUGCAAGACUGCGAUGCCUGAGAGAAGGAAAGCCCGCAGAGGCGCCUGCAAUCAACGACCAGCUCCUGUCCGGGCAGAAUUUUCUGACCACAGCACAGAGACCUGGAGUCCAAACACAGCUCAGUGGCCAUGGUGAGCGGACAAGACAGGCAUUAGGGGUGGCUGGGAUAGAAUCAGGCAAUCAGAGAGGUGGAAACUGUGUUGACAGGGAACCCUAGGAGUCAAUGUGGGGGUUUGCUGUUGAGUUCAUCGUGGAGGGAUGAGCUGUACAUGCUCGGAGAAAGAAGACCAAGACUUUCAGAGAGCAGACACUAUGGGAUUGAAAGCAAAAUGGAACCGCCAGAGGUUUAAGCUGAGCUAGGGAGAGAAUGCUCCUGGUGAAUAUUGAAAUUCCAGCCUUGCCAGAGUAGAGAAAUCUUAACACCUUUGAUAACACUCCUGGCAUCCAGCUGAGACCCUAAAAAGGUUAUGCCUAAGAAUGACACAAUGGACUUUGGGGACUCAGAGGGGAAGGGAUGGGAAGGGGGUGAGGGAUAAAAGACUAUAAAUUGGGUGCAGUGUAUACAGCUCAGGUGAUGCAAAAUCUCACAAAUCGCCACUAAAGAACUGACUCAUGUCACCAAACACCACCUGUUCCCCAAUAACCUACAGAAAUAAAAAAAUUUAAAAAAACAUAAAUAGUAUAGCAAGCCAGCAUCAUAAUAAAUGGUAUUCUAAUGUUAGAAAAAAAAGGCUAUGCCUUAGGAGUAAGGACAACAGCCUAGUAUACUUAUUUAUACUAAACCUCCCCCAGCAAAACCUAAGGGGCUUUUUGAAAAGAUCUGCAGGGAAAACAGAAUUAAGAGAGAACUCCUGCCAAACCAAAGGGGUCAAGGAAACACAUAGUCUUUCUACCAUCCACACGACCAAAGUGUGAAGACAAGCCUAUAUAAGUUCAAAGUGGUCAGCUAGUAAUUUAACUGCCUGAUAAAAUAAGAAACACUUUUUAGAGGAAGAUAACAAAGAGAUGAGUGCAGUCUAUAAGACUAAAGGCACAAGAAACUGUACAUAAGCACUGUGCUCUAGUUGAUAAAGUCAUUUCUCACAAGACCAUGAGUAACAAUUCUGAAACCAUGAUGCAAGAAAACUGGAACUCAACAAUGUAGUGGAUGGAUGGUGGGUAGUGGGAGCCCAGUUUCUUACUGUCAGAGUGUCAGAUUACAGGCAAGGAAAGGGAGGGAGCUACAGUGAUUCAUGUGGAAAGGAAUUAGAGUUGUAGACAUCAGUGUGAACUCAUAUUUAGGUUAAAAUAAAUACAGAUGCUACCUAUAGCUAUACGUAUAUACAUAGGUCAGUAUAUACAAAUAUAUCUCUUUGCUCUGUCCAUGUCAAAGACAUUCACCAUGUUUUUUUAUAACUUGAUAAUUCAUUUCUUUCUAUUGCUGAAUAAUAUUCCAUUGUAAGGACAUGCCACAGUUUAGCCAUUUGCCUAUUGUUUCAUGUUUUUGACAAUUAUCAAUAAUGCUGCUAUAAAUUGUUGCAUGCAGGUUUUUACAUUGACAUAAGUUUUCAAAUCCCUUGAGUGUGCCCAGGAGGGCAAUUGCUGGAUGGUAUGGUAAGCUUGUGUUUGGCUUUGUAAGAAACUGCCAAACUGUCUUCCCAAGUGGCUGUGCCAUUUUGCAUUCCCACCAGCAAGGAAUGUGAACACCUGUUGCUCUGUAUUCUUGCCAGAGCAAGGUGUUGUAUUUAAAAAUUCAUCACCAAUCCCCGUCAGCUUAGAGGUCCUGGAGGUGAUAAUACCCCAGUGGAAA
This 2584-nucleotide long non-coding RNA is filed under the name Homo sapiens (human). RNAcentral's name for it is "non-protein coding lnc-RTL6-8:2". The record is from RNAcentral. Lineage: Eukaryota; Metazoa; Chordata; Mammalia; Primates; Hominidae.